CUACGGGACGCUCCAGUGGGGAAUAUUGCACAAUGGGCGCAAGCCUGAUGCAGCCAUGCCGCGUGUAUGAAGAAGGCCUUCGGGUUGUAAAGUACUUUCAGCGGGGAGGAAGGGAGUAAAGUUAAUACCUUUGCUCAUUGACGUUACCCGCAGAAGAAGCACCGGCUAACUCCGUGCCAGCAGCCGCGGUAAUACGGAGGGUGCAAGCGUUAAUCGGAAUUACUGGGCGUAAAGCGCACGCAGGCGGUUUGUUAAGUCAGAUGUGAAAUCCCCGGGCUCAACCUGGGAACUGCAUCUGAUACUGGCAAGCUUGAGUCUCGUAGAGGGGGGUAGAAUUCCAGGUGUAGCGGUGAAAUGCGUAGAGAUCUGGAGGAAUUCCGGUGGCGAAGGCGGCCCCCUGGACGAAGACUGACGCUCAGGUGCGAAAGCGUGGGGAGCAAACAGGAUUAGAUACCCCAGUAGUC
Molecule: ribosomal RNA, 464 nt
Filed under: uncultured bacterium
Lineage: Bacteria
Description: partial 16S ribosomal RNA
Rfam family: Bacterial small subunit ribosomal RNA
Source: RNAcentral